ACUUGGACCAGGAAGAUCUGGGAUUUGUGCUGAGCCAUGAAGCAGCCAUGGGCAAGUUACCAUCUCUCAGCCUGACUGUGUAUGUCCUCCAAUGCUCUUUGGAGGAAGGACAGGCUCCAGAUUUAAUUCUGAUAGCACUUUGCAAAGGCUAAACGCCAUUCUCUUUAGAAGAGCCUACUGAGAUUUUGUAUUUUUCUAGAAAUUGUAAAGAUCCAAAAAGCUCUCUUGGUCAGGUCAGCAAAAAAAGGAAAAAAGACACUUCCUUCUACAAAACGUUGCCUCUAUGCUGCAUGAGCCAUAGAUCUAAGGCCAGUCAUCCUUCUUCUACCUGUGCAUCGUACCUUCAAGUGUGGAUUAGAUUCCCACCUGCAGUGGGAACAGAUGUACGGCAACUGGCAUUUUGUGCUUUGCUUCAGAUGUCAUGAAAAUGCUGAGAUCUGAAAUGAUACUCUGGAGCUUACUUCAAACAGUGUAAUUUGAGCUGCUUGGUAACCAGGAUGUAUCCUUCCUGUGGUGGGUUCAUCUGAGAUAAGCAUAUGCAUUUUUUUUUUACACAUUACUGGGCUGGAGAACUGCAUUGCAUAACAUAGCAGAUUUGCAGAACAAACAAGCCCACGGGCCAAGGGAGAUGCCGCCACUAGAAGUGCCCGCUGCAUGGCUGAGCACGAUGACAGCUUUGGACGACACGGUUCCUUCGGAGUAAGUUGAGAAUCAACAUCAAUACCAGUGGAGACUCAUGAAUAAAUAUUGAUUAUAAUAUCAAUAAUUCUCUUCAAAGCAAGCAAAUAAAUAAAUAAAUUAUGGAGAUCAGAAAAAUGAUGAUAGCGAAGGGAAUCGGAUCAUUAAUGACCACCAGGGGGCAACACUUAAAAACUAAAUGUAAAAAAGGAGAGGAUUACAUCCCUAUUACAGACCAGGAAGAAGAGGUGGUGGCCGGUCAGCCCACAUCAACUCCCAAAAUACAUUCUCUGCUCCUAACAGACUAGUGUAAAGAGGGGGAGGAGGGCUCCUUGCACGACUGAAAGAACUGUGAUGGAGAGCUAGGAAAAGGAAGAAAAGGAGGGGGCAGAUGACCCCACUUCUUAUCAACUGCCAAACUUCAGGAAGCGGUGGGGGCAGGAGGAAAUGGAAAUACUGCACAGGUCAAAAAUAUUUGCACAUGCCCAGUAACGGAGCAAUUGGAGGGAGUAAAAAUGUAAAAUUAGAGGGAGGGGCCACAAGGAAACAGCGACACUAAUCCUUCCCAAAGGAAUACCUACUUGUGUGAAUGGAAAACAACAGAUUUGAAGCUACCAUUGAGCGUGAAGUGUGGACCUUGCAAAUCUAUUACAACAGUAAAAGAAGUGUAUUUGCUACGAAGAAAUGCUCCCAUGUGGAUAAGCCCCCAAAGAGAGGGCAGACACGAGGGGGAUGCCACAAACACAUGUCUCAACAAGCAAAUUAAAGAUAGUGACAAUGACCUCCAGCAAUAUUUUCCAGUGGCUUCUCUUGUGAUAUGGAAUGCUUGAUAUUAUACAGCCACGAGAGUGGCUGUAUCCUAUAGUCAGUAGGGAUUUUUCGCAUUCUACCAUGUUAAAUGAAAAUACCCACACACACACACCUUUCUGGUGCUUUGUAUAAUCCCACUUCAAAACAAAAACUUACAAGUCUUAUACUGUUGGAUUCAGAAUCACUUGCUCUACAACUCUCAAAGUUUUCUUGGUGAUACACAACCCCCCCCACAGAGAAUCCAGAGGUUAAAGUGAAAAACGGGAGAGAGAAAAACAAGAAGCUGUUUGGACUUUUUUCUUGAGAAGUUCUCAUAAUCUGUUGUCAUUCAUUAAAAUUCAGAGAUGACUGUAAGGUAUCUCUAAUCAAAUCCCUGAGCUUGCCCCAAACACAGACCUUCAUCUUCAGUAGGUUUAAAGUAAAAAAACGGCAUGGUUUGUUUUUAAUUAAUAGAUUAAAAAUGCAUAUAAUUUA
Long non-coding RNA from Rhineura floridana, 1962 nucleotides. RefSeq lists it as uncharacterized. Lineage: Eukaryota; Metazoa; Chordata; Lepidosauria; Squamata; Rhineuridae. The transcript has 7 exons. The record is from RefSeq and is a predicted model, not a curated record.